Molecule: ribosomal RNA, 505 nt
Filed under: uncultured bacterium
Lineage: Bacteria
Description: partial 16S ribosomal RNA
Rfam family: Bacterial small subunit ribosomal RNA
Source: RNAcentral
GACGAACGCUGGCGGCGUGCCUAAUACAUGCAAGUAGAACGCACAGUUUAUACCGUAGCUUGCUACACCAUAGACUGUGAGUUGCGAACGGGUGAGUAACGCGUAGGUAACCUGCCUGGUAGCGGGGGAUAACUAUUGGAAACGAUAGCUAAUACCGCAUAAUAUUGAUUAUUGCAUGAUAAUUGAUUGAAAGAUGCUAUUGCAUCACUACCAGAUGGACCUGCGUUGUAUUAGCUAGUAGGUGAGGUAACGGCUCACCUAGGCGACGAUACAUAGCCGACCUGGGAGGGUGGUCAGCCACACUGGGACUGGGACACGGCCCAGACUCCUUCGGGAGGCAGCAGUAGGGAAUCUUCGGGAAUGGACGAAAGUCUGACCGAGCAACGCCGCGUGAGUGAAGAAGGGUUUCGGAUCGUAAAGCUCUGUUGUAAGAGAAGAACGGGUGUGAGAGUGGAAAGUUCACACUGUGACGGUAUCUUACCAGAAAGGGACGGCUAACUACGUG